GCGGCUGUGAUGGAAUAGAAGACAUACGGGCUCCAGAGGCCCGCGCAGCGAAAGCUCACCUGUGGGUUCAAGUCCCACUGGCCGCAC
This 87-nucleotide transfer RNA is filed under the name compost metagenome. RNAcentral's name for it is "tRNA-Ser". It matches the Rfam family "tRNA". From Rfam's summary of the family: Transfer RNA (tRNA) molecules are approximately 80 nucleotides in length. Their secondary structure includes four short double-helical elements and three loops (D, anti-codon, and T loops). Further hydrogen bonds mediate the characteristic L-shaped molecular structure. tRNAs have two regions of fundamental functional importance: the anti-codon, which is responsible for specific mRNA codon recognition, and the 3' end, to which the tRNAs corresponding amino acid is attached (by aminoacyl-tRNA synthetases). tRNAs cope with the degeneracy of the genetic code in two manners: having more than one tRNA (with a specific anti-codon) for a particular amino acid; and 'wobble' base-pairing, i.e. permitting non-standard base-pairing at the 3rd anti-codon position. The record is from RNAcentral.